Non-coding RNA from Armillaria nabsnona, 77 nucleotides. NCBI's taxonomy places the organism in Eukaryota, Fungi, Basidiomycota, Agaricomycetes, Agaricales, Physalacriaceae. The record is from the annotation of a GenBank genome assembly.
UCGUAUAUUGCAUAACGGUCAAUGGUAUCGUGUUCACAUCUCGGCGAUAUUUCGGGGUUCAAUUCCCUGUCUAUGAA